CAAAGGUAGCAUAAUCAUUAGGGGUUUAAUUGGAACCUAGUAUGAAGGGUCGGACAAAGGAAAAGCUGUCUUUAUAAGUUUGGUUGAAGUUUACUUUUAAGUGAAAAGGCUUGAAUAAAUCAAAGGGACGAUAAGACCCUAUAAAGCUUUAUAGAUAAUCUAAAUCUAGCUAAUCUAAAAAUGAAAGCAAGGUAAAGUUAUUCUAUUUCGUUGGGGUGAUGUGAGUAUAAUUGUUGUUAACUGCUUAAAUUUUAUACUUAUGAAAAAGAAUUGAAAAUAAAUGAUCCUAUUUAAAGAUUAAAGGACUAAGUUACUUUAGGGAUAACAGCGUUAUUUCUUUUGAGAGUUCAUAUCGAAAAAGAAGAUUGCGACCUCGAUGUUGAAUUAAAAUAUCUAUAUAAUGCAGCCGUUAUAAAAGAGGGUCUGUUCGACCUUUGAAUU
This 441-nucleotide ribosomal RNA is filed under the name Chlorodiella barbata. Its description in RNAcentral is "partial 16S ribosomal RNA". It matches the Rfam family "Bacterial large subunit ribosomal RNA", at positions 1951 to 2594 of the family's 2925-position model. Lineage: Eukaryota; Metazoa; Arthropoda; Malacostraca; Decapoda; Xanthidae. The record is from RNAcentral.